AUUGAACGCUGGCGGCAGGCCUAACACAUGCAAGUCGAACGGCAGCACAGAAGAGCUUGCUCUUUGGGUGGCGAGUGGCGGACGGGUGAGUAAUGUCUGGGAAACUGCCCGAUGGAGGGGGAUAACUACUGGAAACGGUAGCUAAUACCGCAUAACGUCGCGAGACCAAAGUGGGGGACCUUCGGGCCUCACACCAUCGGAUGUGCCCAGAUGGGAUUAGCUAGUAGGUGGGGUAAUGGCUCACCUAGGCGACGAUCCCUAGCUGGUCUGAGAGGAUGACCAGCCACACUGGAACUGAGACACGGUCCAGACUCCUACGGGAGGCAGCAGUGGGGAAUAUUGCACAAUGGGCGCAAGCCUGAUGCAGCCAUGCCGCGUGUAUGAAGAAGGCCUUCGGGUUGUAAAGUACUUUCAGCGGGGAGGAAGGCGGUGAGGUUAAUAACCUUGGCGAUUGACGUUACCCGCAGAAGAAGCACCGGCUAACUCCGUGCCAGCCGCCGCGGUAA
Molecule: ribosomal RNA, 506 nt
Filed under: uncultured bacterium
Lineage: Bacteria
Description: partial 16S ribosomal RNA
Rfam family: Bacterial small subunit ribosomal RNA
Source: RNAcentral